GGGCUCGUGGUCUAGCGGUUAUGACGUCGCCCUUACAAGGCGAAUAUCGCCAGUUCAAAUCUGGCCGGGCCCA
This 73-nucleotide transfer RNA is filed under the name Methanobacteriota archaeon. RNAcentral's name for it is "Euryarchaeota archaeon tRNA-Val". It matches the Rfam family "tRNA". Rfam says of the family: Transfer RNA (tRNA) molecules are approximately 80 nucleotides in length. The record is from RNAcentral. Lineage: Archaea; Methanobacteriati; Methanobacteriota. RNAcentral also lists the same sequence under 1 other name.